GUAAAUCUGUAAAUUAACCAAUGCGGCGGUUACUAUACACAUUACAUGUACCUGGAAAAUCUGCAUAUUCAACUGUAAGGGGAAUUUGCAAGUUAACUAGUUAUUAUUUGCAUAUUGCCUGACUAAACAGGAAAUCUGGGAGGCAUUCACACAUUUCCCAAUGGUUAAUGUGGAUGGAGACGCUACAGUGCAGCUUGGCCAUGCUCUGCCUUGCGUGGCACAGUAGAAUUUUGCACCCUCAAUAAUUCUUUCCUUGUGAAAUGUGGGAAUGCGUUCCAGUUUUCCUGUCUGGUCGGGGAAUAAUAACGUAAUUUUUUCUCUUACUGUACAUAUUAACUAUUUGAUCCUCUGCUGAUUUUUCUGGAUUUUUUGUUGUUAUUCUGUCUCUCACUGUUUAAAUAAACCUACCAUUAACAUUGUAGACUGAUCAUUACUUUGUCAGUGGGCAAAAGUUCAAAAUCAGCAGUGGAUCAAAGAAAAAUUCCCUCAAUGUAUACUGCACAGUUUCUAAGGGAAUCUGUAUCACUAUUUUAUCACAAUGUAUAACCAAUUGCAAACUAACUGAUCACUCAAUUGUUUUGCAGGUGUCUCUUGUGGCAGGCUCUGAUGUCCAAGUCCCUAUAAGAAAGCUUAAAUGUCUGCGGACUGCAAAUCCAUCAGUCUACAUCGGGGACCUUGCCGUGCUUGUCUAUGGCAGGGAAACACUGUCCCAUUCAAGUUUGACAGGGAGACAAUCAGGGGCACACAAAGACGUGGAAUCAAAGCCACAACUUGAUAAUACAAAACUAGACGCUACAAUUGGCCAUGCUCUGUCAAAGUUCCCUGACAUCAGCAUUCAAGAUGUGAGACAUAUCAUAAGAAAAACAUGCAACAAUGAAAGCUACAAAAACAAACCACUGAAAAGAAGAUAUGAAAAUAAUUUUUGUUUCCAUUUAGUUGAUCAUUUUUGGGUUGGAUUUGUGGUUCCUCUGCAUCAUGAUGGCCAUUUAACAGGGAAGAAAUUGUACAGAAGUACAACAGUUGUAGCCAGCCAGUGACUGAUUUCAGAGAGGCUCUUGCAUGACAUAUUCUAAUAUUAACCUACCCUAAAGACUGUUUAUGCUGUGUGUUUAUUGUGUUUUGAACUGGGAUGUCGAUUUCAGUUUUCAUUGUUAUGUUUUGGCGUACAAUACAAUAUUUGUUAGAAAAUUCUGAUUUAUGUGAAUUUUUAUGUGUAUUGUCCACUGGUAGUGGUACAAGUGAAUUAACUUCAAGUCCACUUCAAGUACAGUUAAAGGUAUAUUUCAAG
Molecule: long non-coding RNA, 1288 nt
Organism: Esox lucius (northern pike)
Lineage: Eukaryota; Metazoa; Chordata; Actinopteri; Esociformes; Esocidae
Source: Ensembl